CAUGCAAGUCGAACGGGAAACAUUUCAUUGAGGCUUCGGCGGAUCUGAUCUGUUUCUAGUGGCGGACGGGUGAGUAACGCGUGGGUAACCUGCCUUAUACUGGGGGAUAACAGCCAGAAAUGACUGCUAAUACCGCAUAAGCGCACAGAACCGCAUGGUUCGGUGUGAAAAACUCCGGUGGUAUAAGAUGGACCCGCGUUGGAUUAGCUAGUUGGCAGGGCAGCGGCCUACCAAGGCGACGAUCCAUAGCCGGCCUGAGAGGGUGAACGGCCACAUUGGGACUGAGACACGGCCCAGACUCCUACGGGAGGCAGCAGUGGGGAAUAUUGCACAAUGGGGGAAACCCUGAUGCAGCGACGCCGCGUGAAGGAAGAAGUAUCUCGGUAUGUAAACUUCUAUCAGCAGGGAAGAUAAUGACGGUACCUGACUAAGAAGCCCCGGCUAACUACGUGCCAGCAGCCGCGGUAAUACGUAGGGGGCAAGCGUUAUCCGGAUUUACUGGGUGUAAAGGGAGCGUAGACGGCGCAGCAAGUCUGAUGUGAAAGGCAGGGGCUUAACCCCUGGACUGCAUUGGAAACUGCUGUGCUUGAGUGCCGGAGGGGUAAGCGGAAUUCCUAGUGUAGCGGUGAAAUGCGUAGAUAUUAGGAGGAACACCAGUGGCGAAGGCGGCUUACUGGACG
This 680-nucleotide ribosomal RNA is filed under the name uncultured Lachnospiraceae bacterium. RNAcentral describes it as "bacterial SSU rRNA". It matches the Rfam family "Bacterial small subunit ribosomal RNA", at positions 54 to 735 of the family's 1533-position model. Lineage: Bacteria; Bacillati; Bacillota; Clostridia; Lachnospirales; Lachnospiraceae. The record is from RNAcentral.